UAUACGAAAUAUAUUUUUUUAUUACAUUACAUCAAAAUUAAGAACACAUUCUAUAAAAAAUGGUUAAAGGUUACGAAAAACAUAUACAUAAUCCUUUAUAUCAUAUCAUUGUGAUUUUUAAUGUCCUUUCGGCCAAAGUUACGAAGUACAUAUAAUUAGGCGAAAUUAUCCUGUAACCUGUAUCCUGUAAGCGUACCAGUCCUAUCCAAGAUUAUGUGCAGCAAGGCGACAGACCGUCAGCGCAGAUUCUAGGAUUGCAGGAUGCUCACAGAAAAUUAAAGGUUGCGGAUGUUCCAGAAACGCUUGCACACCUCCUGUGUAGCCUUGGCAGCGAUGAGGCUUAGGUACCUAGGAGUCCAUCUGCUGAAAACGCUUCAGGAUGCAGCCAAGCGAACAAUAUACCAACUCUUGACAUUCGUCUGACACCCAUAUCCUGUAGUCGGUCUAUGUGGGAUGUUCCGGAUGUUCAAGAAACGCUUAGACACAUCCUGUGCAGCCUUGGUAACGAGGCAUAGCUACCCCAUCUAAGAAAUCGCUUCAGGAUGCAGCCAAGCGAACAAUUUAUCAACUCUUGAUGUCCUGUCAGAUAUAGGCCCCCGCUCCCGCACCCCACGGGCGAAAAUCUGUCUGUGGGACUCCUAGUGGAUGGCCUGCUUAAACUAACCUAACCUAUAUCUAGAAAAUCUAACCAUUAUAUUUAACAAUUGCAAAGUAAUAACUUCUU
This is a long non-coding RNA of Drosophila willistoni, 724 nucleotides long. RefSeq lists it as uncharacterized. NCBI's taxonomy places the organism in Eukaryota, Metazoa, Arthropoda, Insecta, Diptera, Drosophilidae. The record is from RefSeq and is a predicted model, not a curated record. The transcript has 2 exons.